This 355-nucleotide unclassified non-coding RNA is filed under the name Bombus terrestris (buff-tailed bumblebee). RNAcentral's name for it is "misc RNA ENSBTSG00005037282.1". The record is from RNAcentral. Lineage: Eukaryota; Metazoa; Arthropoda; Insecta; Hymenoptera; Apidae.
UUUGCGAGAUGUCCGUAACCGGAAGUUGAGGAGGAAUUAUCAGGGGUCGACACUACCCUCUCUUCGAGAAACCAACACCCUUGGGUGACAAAUGCGAUACAGAUAGCUCGUAUCGAAACGUGACUGUCCAUACGAAUUAGAGGCAAGAAAAGGACAAGGAUUGCAACUUUGAUGUAUCGCUCUCCGACGAGAAUCGACGACGAGAUGCGUUCGUGACCGGCAGAGCAAAUGCCUCGAAACAGUUAUCACGCUUAAUACUGUGCUACUGCUGCGUUCUUCCAUUUAGAUUAUGUUUGGCAAAAUUCUACUCUUCAUGAAUUUUUCUUUGCGUGCGCUUCAUGAAUCGAAUAAGAAG